RNAcentral lists this unclassified non-coding RNA (354 nucleotides) under Hevea brasiliensis (rubber tree). The record is from RNAcentral. Lineage: Eukaryota; Viridiplantae; Streptophyta; Magnoliopsida; Malpighiales; Euphorbiaceae.
GGUUUCCAAAAUACAGGGACCUCAUAAUAUCGGUCAAACUAAUGAGCCAAAUAAUAAGUUCUCCUUAAUUUGAUAAAAAGUAUAUUUGUCUUUUUACUUAAACUAACAGUAAUAUUGGAUGGGAGAACCUCUAAUUUUGAUGAAAGUAUAAGUGAGGGGUUAAAUUAUUCAAUUUACAGAAUAUAGGGACUAUGUUGUAAUAUUGGUCAAAGCACAAGGAUCAAAUAGUAAAUUUUCCUAAUCAUUAUUAUCAUUAAACAAAACUAUUUUAAAAUAUUUAAUAAAAAUAAUUCGUGAAACUCUUAAGUAUAUGAUCACUUUCACAUAUUUUAUUCUUACAAUAAAAUAUAUUCU